This is a long non-coding RNA of Procambarus clarkii (red swamp crayfish), 1179 nucleotides long. RefSeq lists it as uncharacterized. NCBI's taxonomy places the organism in Eukaryota, Metazoa, Arthropoda, Malacostraca, Decapoda, Cambaridae. The record is from RefSeq and is a predicted model, not a curated record.
AUAAGAGGCCCAGGAGCUGGUCUGGCCAUCACAACACCGGGCGAGGGAUCACACGGCACCGUUCACUUCCAACACUCAAACGCAGGUGGUUCAAAAUGGCACCCAGCUGUACGCUCUUGGUGUUAUCUGUGGUGCUGGUGGCGUCCUGGGCAGCCGCUGCUGACGACGAUGGAAAUCCCUCUCCUGGUGGGAAUGGCGUCGUGGGGGAUGCCAAAAAUUCCAACAUGAAGUCCCAUCACCACCGCUUUCGUAGCCACCACGAACGCCGUAACAGAAAUCACCCCGACCGACACAUCCGAAGAGCCUCUGACGAUGGGGAGAGGCUACCCCUGUCCGCUGUGAGCCAACUUAAUAACUAAACAAUGUAUUCUGUAGCUACUGUAUCAUUCCCAAGCCCUGGAGAACUUGCGGUACGACACGCUGACCAAUACCGCCGUCUUGAACGCCAUGGACCAAAAUUCGUUGUUCAAGUUUGGCAGCUGUGUCCACUGAGUAGGCUGCCGCUAGGCUUGUGGCAGCAUCUUCGCCGAUGAUCUCUCCAACAACCUAACUCAUAAGAACAGCAGACCUACAGAGCACCCGAGACAUGCCACGCAACACCAACAUAGUUAUUAUGAAAGUGUUGUUAGAUUAUAACUAACUAAACAUUUACACUGACAUAAAGUAUAAAUUAUUAAGGAUAUGUUACGGGGAAAAUGAUUCGCCAAAACCUCCUCUUCUUGUUAUAGCACGUCGCAUUUUGACGUAUACUUAAGGCCAAACACUAAUGUACAAGAAUAUGGUAGCGGCUGGCGAAUUUGACAAUGUCCCGUUUUCUGUUCGUGGGUCCUCUGGUUGGUUAGGUUAGGGCAUUUUAGUACCGCAGUUUCUUGAUAUUGGGAACACUGGCGAGAACGGACCACGUCAACAGCGCUCAGUGACAUGGAUGAGUCGUCUGGUGUCCGGAUAUCAGUUGAAACCCCAUAUUAUUUCCAUGAAGUUACCUGGAAGUCACCAUCUAUAAUGGCUUCGGCGGGAACAGCAAACUGGCGGCCUGCCAAACCUCUCCCAUUAUUAUUAUAUUCUCGUCUGGUAUUACCAAAUAUAUUGUUAAUACAAGCAUUUAAUGCUUAUUUUUACAUUGUUAGCACGAUUAUAUAUAUUUAUAUAUAUCUUAAACAAAAUGCUGAAAAUCGGAAA